UACUUUGCCCGUCAUGUGAUGCUCCGAUCAACCUACACGAGUUGAAGCCUGACAAAUCGGCUGAAAGAAAGCUUCAAAUGAUCAAGUCAUGCAAGUGUAAAAACUGCAGCUGGAAAGGAUCCUACACUGAUUACAUCCAGGCAUGAACAUGCUGGUGCAUUUUAUCUCUUGCUGCAUGAACUAGCCUAGAUUAGUGUUUUAGAUUUGGGGCUUGGUGGAUGUGACUAGGCUAAACAGCGGCGAGAUGAAUGCUGAUGACCAUGGUGCAAGCUGCUUCAGGAUUUGUUCUACCUUUCUGCUGGCUCAGACUGGAUGAGGG
This is a long non-coding RNA of Strongylocentrotus purpuratus (purple sea urchin), 319 nucleotides long. RefSeq lists it as uncharacterized. The transcript is spliced from 3 exons. Lineage: Eukaryota; Metazoa; Echinodermata; Echinoidea; Camarodonta; Strongylocentrotidae. The record is from RefSeq and is a predicted model, not a curated record.